CCUACGGGUGGCAGCAGUGGGGAAUAUUGCACAAUGGGGGAAACCCUGAUGCAGCGACGCCGCGUGAGCGAUGAAGGAUUUCGGUAUGUAAAGCUCUAUCAGCAGGGAAGAAAAUUACGGUACCUGCCUAAGAAGCCCCGGCUAACUACGUUCCAGCCGCCGCGGUAAUACGUAGGGGGCAAGCGUUAUCCGGAUUUACUGGGUGUAAAGGGAGCGUAGACGGUCCUGCAAGCCAGAUGUGAAAGCCCGGGGCUCAACCCCGGGACUGCAUUUGGAACUGUAAGGCUAGAGUGUAGGAGAGGCAGGCGGAAUUCCUAGUGUAGCGGUGGAAUGCGUAGAUAUUAGGAGGAACACCAGUGGCGAAGGCGGCCUGCUGGACGAUGACUGACGUUGAGGCUCGAAAGCGUGGGGAGCAAACAGGAUUAGAUACCCCAGUAGUC
This 440-nucleotide ribosomal RNA is filed under the name uncultured bacterium. RNAcentral's name for it is "partial 16S ribosomal RNA". It matches the Rfam family "Bacterial small subunit ribosomal RNA", at positions 338 to 795 of the family's 1533-position model. The record is from RNAcentral.